UUAGAGUUUAGGGUUUAGGGUUUAGAUUUUAGGGUUUAGGGUUUAGGUUUAGGGUUUAGAGUUUAGGGUUUAGGGUUUAGGGUUUAGAGUUUAGGGUUUAGGGUUUAGAGUUUAGGGUUUAGGGUUUAGAGUUGAGAAAUGAGGUUUUGGGGAUAAGAUUUCAAAUUUUGAGAAAUAAAAAAAAUAAAAUUUUCAAAGGAUAAACUUAAAAAGGUGCUAUUUUGGUCAUUUUAGUUUUUGAGUGCUAUUUUUGUGAUAUAAACUUAGAAAUGUGUUAUUUUGGAGAUUUGCCCUUCUUUAUAUACUGAAGCCUAUAAUCUUUAGCAUUAUUUUAAAAUUUGUAACCACAUUCUAA
RNAcentral lists this long non-coding RNA (355 nucleotides) under Brassica napus (rape). RNAcentral describes it as "long non-coding RNA (BNAP_LNC010514)". Lineage: Eukaryota; Viridiplantae; Streptophyta; Magnoliopsida; Brassicales; Brassicaceae. The record is from RNAcentral.